RNAcentral lists this ribosomal RNA (270 nucleotides) under unidentified soil organism R6-10. RNAcentral's name for it is "partial 16S ribosomal RNA". It matches the Rfam family "Bacterial small subunit ribosomal RNA", at positions 1232 to 1501 of the family's 1533-position model. The record is from RNAcentral.
GGGUGGUACAGAGGGCACCCAAGUCGUGAGGCGGAGCUAAUCCCUUAAAGCCAUUCUCAGUUCGGAUUGUAGNCUGANACUCGCCUACAUGAAGCUGGAGUUACUAGUAAUCGCAGAUCAGAAUGCUGCGGUGAAUGCGUUCCCGGGUCUUGUACACACCGCCCGUCACACCACGGAAGUUGGGGGCGCCCGAAGCCGGAUUGCUAACCUUUUGGAAGCGUCCGUCGAAGGUGAAAUCAAUAACUGGGGUGAAGUCGUAACAAGGUAUCC